RNAcentral lists this long non-coding RNA (1180 nucleotides) under Chrysemys picta bellii (western painted turtle). RNAcentral describes it as "lncRNA (ENSCPBG00000017707.1)". The record is from RNAcentral. Lineage: Eukaryota; Metazoa; Chordata; Testudines; Emydidae.
AUUUCCAACCAUCUGGUGCAUUUCACAAAAUGUGGUGAUGAAGGUCAUGUGCUGUAAGUACCUAGCGAGAAGGAGAGGUUGGGACAUGGGAGUGAGGCUCUUUCUGCUGCUGUAUGUUCCUUUGCCUCUCUCAAGUUCGGUCCUUUCCAUUAGCAGGGUCAGAAGCUUCACCUCGCGGGUCCUUCAGGCUAUGCCAAGCAGGAACGUUUUGUCCUGGUGGUUCAUCUCUUCCUAUUCCCUGUACCCCAGGCUCGUACUGUGCAUCUGCAGAGCUGGCUGUGCCAUCUGGUCCCUGUGAUGCUGGCUUUUACUGCACUAGGGGGUCCACGCUCCCCAACCCAACAGAUGGGGCAGUAGGAAAUAUUUGUCCUCCAGGCUACGUGUGUCCCCAAGGAAGUUCUUCUCCAUCUCCAUGUCCCCCAGGCUCUUUUUUGGCCCAUCAUGGUGGCCAAUCAGCACAAGAUUGCCGGCCCUGUUUAGCAGGAUGGUUCUGCUCCCACCGAGGUCAAAGUACACCAGAGGGGCGGUGUAAGGAAGGCUGGUUUUGCCCAGAGGGGUCUGUAUCAGGACUUAAUCCAGAUUAUAUAUGUCCUGUUGGCCACUAUUGCCCCACAGGCAGCCCAGAGCCCAAACCCUGUCCCUCUGGGAAAUACCAGGACCAGACUGGUCAAAGCCUGUGCAAGACGUGCCCAACAGGAAAGUUCUGUGGCCCAGAAGUCCAAAUCCAAGAUCACAAUGAGACCUUUUCACAUGGAAUGAUCAAGCCAGCAGAUUGCCCGGCUGGAUACUACUGUCUCUCAGGAACUAAAGCUGCCAAGCAGUACCCAUGCCCCCAGGGCACCUUCAGUAACCAGACUGGGCUGAGCAAUUCUAAGGACUGCAGGGCUUGCCCUGGGGGAAAAUUCUGUGCAGAUGCAGGCCUCUUGACCCCGAGUGGCCCUUGUUUGCCCAGGUAUUACUGCAUUUUGAAGGCACAUGUACCUAAUCCUGUUAACGAUGAAACUGGAGACUUGUGCCCAGCAGGACACUUCUGCCCACUGGGUAGCAGCAGCCCAGUGCCAUGUCCCACUGGCACCUUUCUACCCCAGUCUGGGAUGGCAUCCCACAAUGCUUGUCUGCCCUGCCCUGGGGGGAAGUUCUGCCAAGGAGAAGGGUUGGCCAGCAUUUCAGGUGAGUAGUA